Molecule: long non-coding RNA, 2624 nt
Organism: Oncorhynchus keta (chum salmon)
Lineage: Eukaryota; Metazoa; Chordata; Actinopteri; Salmoniformes; Salmonidae
Exons: 7
Source: RefSeq, a predicted model, not a curated record
CGUAUCACCCUGCUCUGAAAUUCUGUCAGCUUCGUUACUGAUGGUGUUUUUUUUUUACAGCUUUUGACAUGAUAUUUUACUGAUAAAAACAAGCUGGUCAGUGGUUUUUAUUUAACUAGACAAGUAAAGGAAGGUAACACAUGUAACCAUCUCACAUUUGGGUAAAUUAUCAAAUAAAGUACCCAAAUGUGUGACCAUUAACUUUGAGGGCCUUGCAUGAACUCCACCUAGAUCAUCUAUUUUCUGACAACCUCCUGCAGAAGCAGUCAAACCCUGCCAAACAACCAACCACCUCCUUUCAGCUGAGAGACACAGCUUCUCUCCCACCACUACCUCCUCCAGAGAGAGGAGCAAUGCAAAGUACACAAACUACCUCACUGGCAGUGCAGGAGUGGAACAUUCAGGCCUGUUCUCACAGUUAAAAGUAGUUCGCUACAGUAAAUUAUUUAACGGCUUCUCAGACACCGUUUGCCAGGACAAUUUCCUCACUGCUGUGCCUGAAGAGAGAGAGGCUACACUCACACUGCCUAACUGACUAUUCUACUCUAAGCCAAAAAGGGCCCCCUGGCUGGUUUGGUAUCGACUGGCUGAGGCACUUUGGAAGCUCUCCUUCUGAGGUAGAGAGACCGUCUUGCCCUCCCUCCAGGAUUUGUUCCAUCAGGCCUUUUGUUGUGUUGCAGCAGAAAAGGCCAUGAGACUGCAGACUCAUCAGCCUGCUAAAUGGCUGCUCUUAAAAGAUCAAAAAGGAGAGCCGCACACUCUAGAAGCUCAAAUGCAAUCAUUUUGUAACCAACAUUGGUUAUAAAAUUUGGCUGAGAGACCACCUGGUCCUGAGACUACAGGCUACCUCUGUUAAUGGGUCUCUAACCUGAUGAGACUUUACAGGUCAGUCAAUUAGACAGAGUCUGGGAGAACAGACUUGGAGUAGUGUGCUUCAGUGCCAUUUUAGUCAUUGUGCUUUACAAAUUAAAACACAACUAGGCUACUUCUUUCAUAUUGAUGUUGCCAUAGCAGAAUGGAGAAAAUGAGAGGGGUGUGGAUACUGCAAUGAAGGCGAUUUGUUUGUGUGGAUCCCCUCUCUCUCUCUUCAUCUCUCUCUCGAAUGUACCAGGAGAGGGAGGGAAAAUAAUGGACAAAAGGAAGAUGAGAAAAGAUGGAUUGAGUAAGCAAAAAAAGGAGAGAUGUGGCAGAGAGAGAAGUGUGAGGAGGAUGGAAAAAGAGAGAGGGGUGGAGAGAAAAACAGGUGAGAGACAGUAAGAGGAUGCAGUGGGAGACAGGGAGCAAAACAGAGAGGUGAGAGACAGUAAGAGGAUGCAGUGGGAGACAGGGAGCAAAACAGAGAGGUGAGAGACAGUAAGAGGAUGCAGUGGGAGACAGGGAGCAAAACAGAGAGGUGAGAGACAGUAAGAGGAUGCAGUGGGAGACAGGGAGCAAAACAGAGAGGUGAGAGACAGUAAGAGGAUGCAGUGGGAGACAGGGAGCAAAACAGAGAGGUGAGAGACAGUAAGAGGAUGCAGUGGGAGACAGGGAGCAAAACAGAGAGGUGAGAGACAGUAAGAGGAUGCAGUAGGAGACAGGGAGCAAAACAGAGAGGUGAGAGACAGUAAGAGGAUGCAGUAGGAGACAGGGAGCAAAACAGAGAGGUGAGAGACAGUAAGAGGAUGCAGUGGGAGACAGGGAGCAAAACAGAGAGGUGAGAGACAGUAAGAGGAUGCAGUAGGAGACAGGGAGCAAAACAGAGAGGUGAGAGACAGUAAGAGGAUGCAGUGGGAGACAGGGAGCAAAACAGAGAGGUGAGAGACAGUAAGAGGAUGCAGUAGGAGACAGGGAGCAAAACAGAGAGGUGAGAGACAGUAAGAGGAUGCAGUAGGAGACAGGGAGCAAAACAGAGAGGUGAGAGACAGUAAGAGGAUGCAGUAGGAGACAGGGAGCAAAACAGAGAGGUGAGAGACAGUAAGAGGAUGCAGUGGGAGACAGGGAGCAAAACAGAGAGGUGAGAGACAGUAAGAGGAUGCAGUAGGAGACAGGGAGCAAAACAGAGAGGUGAGAGACAGUAAGAGGAUGCAGUAGGAGACAGGGAGCAAAACAGAGAGGUGAAAGACAGUAAGAGGAUGCAGUGGGAGACAGGGAGUAAAACAGAGAGGUGAGAGACAGUAAGGAUGCAGUGGGAGACAGGGAGCAAAACAGAGAGGUGAGAGACAGUAGGAGGAUGCAGUAGGAGACAGGGAGCAAAACAGAGAGGUGAAAGACAGUAAGAGGAUGCAGUGGGAGACAGGGAGUAAAACAGAGAGGUGAGAGACAGUAAGGAUGCAGUGGGAGACAGGGAGUAAAACAGAGAGGUGAGAGACAGUAAGAGGAUGCAGUAGGAGACAGGGAGCAAAACAGGAAGGGCAAAAAUAAAAACCGUAAUGAACAGCAGAGGAAAAGCGAGAAGCGGGUGAGGAAUAAAAAGUGAGUGAGAAAAAGAGCAGGUGUGGUCCUCUCCUCUUCUCUUCCUCUAGUUCCAGUAACAGGCAGUGACCUCAGGCUGAACAGAGUACCCAGAGGCUCAUGUGUCCCGAAAAACCAUCCAGCUGCCAGGCCACGGGUAUUACGUUACCCUCUCGGCCAGGGAAUGGGUCACA